This 459-nucleotide ribosomal RNA is filed under the name uncultured bacterium. RNAcentral's name for it is "bacterial SSU rRNA". It matches the Rfam family "Bacterial small subunit ribosomal RNA", at positions 918 to 1379 of the family's 1533-position model. The record is from RNAcentral.
GGCCCGCACAAGCAGCGGAGCAUGUGGUUUAAUUCGAAGCAACGCGAAGAACCUUACCUAGACUUGACAUCUCCUGCAUUACCCUUAAUCGGGGAAGUUCCUUCGGGAACAGGAAGACAGGUGGUGCAUGGUUGUCGUCAGCUCGUGUCGUGAGAUGUUGGGUUAAGUCCCGCAACGAGCGCAACCCCUAUUGUUAGUUGCUACCAUUCAGUUGAGCACUCUAGCGAGACUGCCCGGGUUAACCGGGAGGAAGGUGGGGAUGACGUCAAAUCAUCAUGCCCCUUAUGUCUAGGGCUACACACGUGCUACAAUGGUCGGUACAAUGAGAAGCAACCUCGCGAGAGUGAGCAAAACUAUAAAACCGAUCUCAGUUCGGAUUGCAGGCUGAAACUCGCCUGCAUGAAGCUGGAGUUGCUAGUAAUCGCGAAUCAGAAUGUCGCGGUGAAUACGUUCCCGGGC